RNAcentral lists this long non-coding RNA (268 nucleotides) under Gossypium barbadense (sea-island cotton). RNAcentral describes it as "long non-coding RNA (GBAR_LNC001491)". Lineage: Eukaryota; Viridiplantae; Streptophyta; Magnoliopsida; Malvales; Malvaceae. The record is from RNAcentral.
AUAUGUAGAUAAUUUACAAUGAGUACGUGUGGAAAUCAUGGACGAGGUACCCGUAGGCAUGGCAGACGCCGAAGAGGGGCUCGAGCUAAGCCAUCCUCGAUGGGCAGUAUGCCCAAUCUAGAUAUGGGAGAGAUUAUGGGUAUGCAUACUGUUGAGACAGGGUCUUAGACACAGUCGACUGGGGACGAUGCAUUGUCCCAAGCCAUGUUGAGAGUUCCUGAGAGGGUCAUUGGGACCCAUUCUAGAUCUAAGAGUCGAGGGUCGGUAC